UACGGAAGGCAGCAGUGGGGAAUAUUGCACAAUGGGCGAAAGCCUGAUGCAGCUAUGCCGCGUGUAUGAAGAAGGCCUUAGGGUUGUAAAGUACUUUCAUCGGGGAGGAAAAAACCAAAACUAAAUAAUUUUAUUUCUUGACGUUACCCGAAAAAGAAGCACCGGCUAACUCCGUGCCAGCAGCCGCGGUAAUACGGAGGGUGCUAGCGUUAAUCAGAAUUACUGGGCGUAAAGAGCACGUAGGUGGUUUUUUUAAGUCAGAUGUGAAAUCCCUGGGCUUAACCCUAGGAACUGCAUUUUGAAACUGAAAUACUAGAGUAUCGUAGAGGGAGGUAGAAUUCUAGGUGUAGCGGUGAAAGUGCGUAGAUAUCUGGAGGAAUACCUGUGGCGAAACGCGGCCUCCUAAACCGAAUAACUGACACUGAGGGUGCGAAAGCGUGGGGAGCAAACAGGAUUAGAUACC
This 463-nucleotide ribosomal RNA is filed under the name uncultured bacterium. Its description in RNAcentral is "bacterial SSU rRNA". It matches the Rfam family "Bacterial small subunit ribosomal RNA", at positions 340 to 786 of the family's 1533-position model. The record is from RNAcentral.